The sequence is a transfer RNA, 85 nucleotides long. It matches the Rfam family "tRNA". From Rfam's summary of the family: Transfer RNA (tRNA) molecules are approximately 80 nucleotides in length. Their secondary structure includes four short double-helical elements and three loops (D, anti-codon, and T loops). The record is from Rfam.
UCCUCUUUAGCUCAGUUGGUUAGAGCGUCCGGCUGUUAAUAAUUCCGCAACCGGGAGGUCCGAGGUUCGAACCCUCGAAGUGGAG